This 491-nucleotide ribosomal RNA is filed under the name uncultured bacterium. RNAcentral's name for it is "partial 16S ribosomal RNA". It matches the Rfam family "Bacterial small subunit ribosomal RNA", at positions 29 to 506 of the family's 1533-position model. The record is from RNAcentral.
AGUGAACGCUGGCGGUAGGCCUAACACAUGCAAGUCGAACGGCAGCACAGUAAGAGCUUGCUCUUACGGGUGGCGAGUGGCGGACGGGUGAGGAAUAAAUCGGAAUCUACUUUUUCGUGGGGGAUAACGUAGGGAAACUUACGCUAAUACCGCAUACGACCUACGGGUGAAAGCAGGGGAUCUUCGGACCUUGCGCGAUUGAAUGCGCCGAUGUCGGAUUAGCUAGUUGGCGGGGUAAAGGCCCACCAAGGCGACGAUCCGUAGCUGGUCUGAGAGGAUGAUCAGCCACACUGGAACUGAGACACGGUCCAGACGCCGACGGGAGGCAGCAGUGGGGAAUAUUGGACAAUGGGCGCAAGCCUGAUCCAGCCAUACCGCGUGGGUGAAGAAGGCCUACGGGUUGUAAAGCCAUUUUGUUGGGAGAGAAAAGCAGCAGGUUAAGACCCCGCUGUUCUGACGGUACCCAAAGAAUAAGCACCGGCUAACUUCGU